RNAcentral lists this unclassified non-coding RNA (300 nucleotides) under uncultured fungus. RNAcentral describes it as "sequence contains 5.8S rRNA gene, ITS2". The stretch from base 1 to 71 matches the Rfam family "5.8S ribosomal RNA", at positions 84 to 154 of the family's 154-position model. The record is from RNAcentral. Lineage: Eukaryota; Fungi.
GUGAAUCAUCGAAUCUUUGAACGCAACUUGCGCUCCCUGGCAUUCCGGGGAGCAUGCCUGUUUCAGUAUCAGUUCAUGAUAGAAUUUGACAAAGAAUGAUCAUAAAUGAUCAUUCUUUUAAAAAUUCGUUAGUGAAUGUCUUUUUUAUUACUGAAAAAGUCAUUUAAAAGUUACUAAAAAACGUUACUGGUGUAAUAUCAUAAAAUCACCUCGAUCGUUGAUAACAUUAAUAAAAAUUCUUUCGAAAUUUUAUUUACAUUCGUGAUCUGAAAUCAGGCAAGAUUACCCGCUGAACUUAAG